RNAcentral lists this long non-coding RNA (983 nucleotides) under Zea mays. Its description in RNAcentral is "long non-coding RNA (ZMAY_LNC003869)". The record is from RNAcentral. Lineage: Eukaryota; Viridiplantae; Streptophyta; Magnoliopsida; Poales; Poaceae.
UGAUCCAUUCUUGUUUCUGCAUCACUAAGUCAUGAUCAUCUCCUUCUUGAUACCCUUGAGCAUCAUCCAUUCCUAUUGUACUCCUCAAAGACAGCUAAUUCUCGGUGGUUCUGAACCCUCCAGAGAAGAUGACAGACCUAGCUGUCAACAAAAUGUAGAAAGCGCAAUUCAGCAAUAGGACCCAUAAGAUGCAGAUUGAUGUUCAAAAUAAUGAGUAGCAUUGUGGCAGGCUCUCGGUGCAGUGAUUAAGAGCUCAUCGUGCCCCCAACCCCCCACCCCACCCACUCUUUGGACGUUUCCCCUAGGGUCAAUGGCUGAGCUGGUUAAUUUUCACACCUAGGGCUACCAUCAAAGUACACCAACACCUUGUCAAAUACCACUCCCACACGGCCACACCGGGUCUAAUACAGAUAGAUAACAAAACUAGCUCAUAAAUGCAUAAGUUUAGAAGAUAUCUCAAUUCCAUGCUUAAAUCCACAGCAUGCUUGAUGAAAACAUGGAAGUGGUAAAACAAUGCCUAAUUAAUGAAGGUUUCGGUUCGCCACUUCGCCAUCGCCUCUCAUAUCUUCAUCAAAAAUAGAAUUUAUGUCUUGGUCCUCUUCACUCUGCAAGUGACAUGAGAUUUCUCGAUUGGGGAAUUUAACAUUGAAAUAAAGAUUAGGGUUCGGGAAUUUACCUUGCCGCUCUCUGGGGACUGAACUUGGGCCUGGCUUGCUGUUGCUAUCGGCUUGUCGCGACCGCGUGCCGGCUACCGGCCGCGGGCGACCACCCUGCUGCUGUGUGCGCGUGCUGACAGCAGCUAGCGGCCGGCGGCCCGGCUGCACGCCUACAACUUGAGUACUUGACGACCAGCAGUAGCCCGGCCGCGAGCGGGGGGACGACUGACUGCUCAGAUUAGAUGCUUCACCGCAAGAUCCCUUGUCCGAUGUAACGGCGACUAUGGAGCCGGGAGCCCGGGACAAGAAAGAAGAGCGAGAGAGGCG